This 207-nucleotide ribosomal RNA is filed under the name uncultured bacterium. Its description in RNAcentral is "partial 16S ribosomal RNA". It matches the Rfam family "Bacterial small subunit ribosomal RNA", at positions 568 to 774 of the family's 1533-position model. The record is from RNAcentral.
CGCGUAGGCGGCGCAACAAGUCACUUGUGAAAUCUCCGGGCUUAACCCGGAGCGGCCAAGUGAUACUGUUGUGCUGGAGUGCGGAAGGGGCCACCGGAAUUCUCGGUGUAGCGGUGAAAUGCGUAGAUAUCGAGAGGAACACCUGCGGCGAAGGCGGGUGGCUGGGCCGACACUGACGCUGAGGCGCGAAAGCCAGGGGAGCGAACG